Molecule: transfer RNA, 75 nt
Filed under: Leptotrichiaceae bacterium
Lineage: Bacteria; Fusobacteriati; Fusobacteriota; Fusobacteriia; Fusobacteriales; Leptotrichiaceae
Description: tRNA-Glu
Rfam family: tRNA
About the family: Transfer RNA (tRNA) molecules are approximately 80 nucleotides in length. Their secondary structure includes four short double-helical elements and three loops (D, anti-codon, and T loops).
Source: RNAcentral
GCGGCUUUCGUUUAGUGGUUAGGACUCCGGGUUUUCAUCCCGGCAACAGGGGUUCGAUUCCCCUAAGCCGUACCA